AGAGUUUGAUCCUGGCUCAGAUUGAACGCUGGCGGCAUGCCUUACACAUGCAAGUCGAACGGUAACAGGGAGCUUGCUCCGCUGACGAGUGGCGAACGGGUGAUAAAAUAUCGGAACGUGCCUGGUAGUGGGGGACAACUAUCGAAAGAUAGCUAUACCGCAUACGCCCUACGGGGGAAAGAGGGGGAUUCGCAGACCUCUUGUUUCAAGCGGCGAUUCUGUUAGUAGUU
RNAcentral lists this ribosomal RNA (230 nucleotides) under uncultured bacterium. Its description in RNAcentral is "partial 16S ribosomal RNA". It matches the Rfam family "Bacterial small subunit ribosomal RNA", at positions 8 to 246 of the family's 1533-position model. The record is from RNAcentral.